This 632-nucleotide ribosomal RNA is filed under the name uncultured fungus. RNAcentral describes it as "eukaryotic LSU rRNA". It matches the Rfam family "Eukaryotic large subunit ribosomal RNA", at positions 24 to 664 of the family's 3401-position model. Lineage: Eukaryota; Fungi. The record is from RNAcentral.
CCCGCUGAACUUAAGCAUAUCAAUAAGCGGAGGAAAAGAAACUAACAAGGAUUCCCCUAGUAACUGCGAGUGAAGCGGGAAGAGCUCAAAUUUAAAAUCUGGCAUGCCUCUGGCUGUCCGAGUUGUAGUCUGGAGAAGCGUUUAUCCGCGUCGGACCGUGUACAAGUCUUCUGGAAGGGAGCGUCGUAGAGGGUGAGAAUCCCGUCUUUGACACGGACAACCGGUGCUUUUGUGAUGCGCUCUCGAAGAGUUGAGUUGUUUGGGAAUGCAGCUCAAAAUGGGUGGUAAAUUCCAUCUAAAGCUAAAUAUUGGCGAGAGACCGAUAGCGAACAAGUACCGUGAGGGAAAGAUGAAAAGCACUUUGGAAAGAGAGUUAAACAGUACGUGAAAUUGUUGAAAGGGAAGCGCUUGCAACCAGACUUGCACACUGCCGAUCAUCUGGGGUUCUCCCCAGUGCACUCGGUUGCGUUCAGGCCAGCAUCGGUUUGGGUGGUUGGAUAAAGACCUUGAAAAUGUAGCUUCUCUCGGGGAGUGUUAUAGUUCUCGGUGCAAUGCAGCCUACCCGGACCGAGGACCGCGCUUCGGCUAGGAUGCUGGCGUAAUGGUUGUAAGCGACCCGUCUUGAAACACGG